Macrobrachium nipponense is the source of this 103-nucleotide small nuclear RNA. Lineage: Eukaryota; Metazoa; Arthropoda; Malacostraca; Decapoda; Palaemonidae. The record is from RefSeq and is a predicted model, not a curated record.
GGUCCUGUAUGGGCUACCAACUAAAAUUGGAACGAUACAGAGAAGAUUAGCAUAGCCCCUGUGCAAGGAUGACAUGCAAAAUCGUGAAGCGUUCCACAUUUUU